UACGUAGGGUCCGAGCGUUGUCCGGAAUUACUGGGCGUAAAGAGCUCGUAGGUGGUUUGUCACGUUGUUCGUGAAAACCCACAGCUCAACUGUGGGCGUGCGAGCGAUACGGGCAGACUAGAGUACUGCAGGGGAGACUGGAAUUCCUGGUGUAGCGGUGGAAUGCGCAGAUAUCAGGAGGAACACCGGUGGCGAAGGCGGGUCGCUGGGCAGUAACUGACGCUGAGGAGCGAAAGCGUGGGGAGCGAACAGG
This 253-nucleotide ribosomal RNA is filed under the name uncultured bacterium. RNAcentral's name for it is "partial 16S ribosomal RNA". It matches the Rfam family "Bacterial small subunit ribosomal RNA", at positions 524 to 776 of the family's 1533-position model. The record is from RNAcentral.